RNAcentral lists this long non-coding RNA (4731 nucleotides) under Sus scrofa (pig). Its description in RNAcentral is "lncRNA (ENSSSCG00015061668.1)". Lineage: Eukaryota; Metazoa; Chordata; Mammalia; Artiodactyla; Suidae. The record is from RNAcentral.
AUCAUCAAAUGGGUUGUCAGAUUAAUUGCUGUUACAUCUGAAACUCAAAAAACAAACCAGUAGAGAAAGGAGAUAAUGAAGAAAAUGGUUUCCAGAGGAUAUCAGGACACAGAUGAGAAAGUGGAGGGGCAGCUAAGAACUCUUUAAUCCCCCAAAUGGUGCCACAUCUAUGGGAGGAAGCGACCCUUUUAAUGAUGAUAACAAAGAUUAAUAUUUAAGCACUCUGAUUUUUUAAAAAGUGUCUCUGUCACUGCUGUCAUGACAUUCAUAGACACUACUGUCAAAUGAACUAAUUUUCACAUGUACAUAAGCCAGCUUUGAAAAGAUACAUACUUCAGUAAUUAAUCAUACAUUCAGCCAACAAAACUAAGCCAUAAUAUAAUAUUUCAUAGUAGAAUUUUUAUACUACUUCAAUUAUCAAAUAAAAGUGAAUACAAAGGAUAUUUUGCAGGAUUCUUGAUGAUAAAAUUAUUCUAAGAAAAAUCCCCCAAUAUUUCCUCUAUUUGACUUUUCUUCCAGAAAAAUAGGAAGAGGGCAUGUAGGAUUCUCAACAGCUGGAACCACUGAAGGCUGCACAACUACAGCAAGGGGGAAAAAGGGUAUCAGUGUGUGAGAAAGAUAUAGGUAGAGUAAGGAUGUAUCAAACAAGAAGGGAAGCUCUGGGGCAUAACAACCAAGGAAAUAGGGAAAAGUCCAGUUUUUAUGAGUCCGCAACAUGUGUGUUGCACAGAGCUUCAUGCUUAGAAGGACUUUGUACUUGGCUAAAUUUUCUACUGCUGUCUUUGUGAAAUCAUUAAUAAUUUCUGAAUAAGAGGUCUAUAUUUGGCAGUGAGCCCCAUUCCUGGAACAGGCUAACGCAAAAUGCAUUUCCUUUGUAAAGGUAACAGGCAAGUCAGAGAAGGGAAGUCUGAAGACCAGCCUAGUAAGAGCUCUGGAAGCAACAGUAGGAAGCCUUCUGGAAAGCGGGGGUCGGGGGAGGCUGCUUAGAUACCAGGAAACAAAAGCAAAAGGAGAGGACUAAUCUGUAAGAUUUUUCUAAAACUAAUUGUUACAAAAAUUACAAUUUUAGAUAAGUACUAGGAUAAUGAGAAAGUAAUGAGUUAGGAGAUAGUCACUGCUUUUCCUCAAAAAAUAUAAGACAGAUUAAUUAAAAAAUGUGUCAUUUCAAAAAAGACAGGUCUAAUACUUUUGCCAAAGGCACAAGGUAAUAUUAAUUAUCAGGAAUCACCAUUAAUAUCAGUAAGUAGUAUAUUUUAUCAAAUAUAAAAUACACAUUGUUAUUUGAUCAAUUUUUUUUGACAUUUAAAAAUCUGAGUAAAACACCUAACAGGUAAAGUUUAACUCAAAAUGAAGUCAUGAGGCUGUGCCUUUAGUUUUGUUUUGACCUUAUCCACACAAAGCAUGACUAUAAAAUUUACUCAAAUCUUUACCAACAGAAUUCCUUUAUACACUCUACACUCAUUAUCCUUUCCUGAUAAGCUCUCAUAAAAUCCUAAAGAGGAUCAUCCCAUAAAAUGACAGUAGUUACAGUAUCUACCAUUUCCCAAAAAAAUAUUUCUACACAAAUCUUAAAAUCAUCUAUCUACUUUGAGUACUACCACUCCUAUUAACUUGGAUUUAUGGAGAACAAAAAAUCAGAUUAACACAGAGCAAAAUUAGAUACAUGAGCCAUCUUUUUUCAUAAAAUGACUCACUGCUUUAAUUUAAAAGAAUCCUUUGCCAUGUAACAGCACAUGUUUUAAGUGAAGGUGAUAAUAUACUUUUAUUCUAAACAAAGAAUCAACUGACCCUAUAUUAAGGUUAAGUAUGAGUAAAACAGAGUUUAAAUAUUUUAUUAGAAAAAAAUUCCAUUUACAAAUGGGUCACUUCUAACCCUCUUACCCAAGAAAACAAAAACUUAAGGAAAAAUGCGAGGUAGAAUAAGAAAUGACACCACAUGCUAGCCCUAACAACGCACCCAUAUUUAUCUAUGUGUGCAUGAGUUAACUGUUAAAUACAAAAAUUCUACAGAAGACAUGCCGGUCCUAUUAUUUUUAACCCCAGCCAAAAAUACACAGCAUAAUUUGCCAAGGAGUUAAAAUAAGACAGAAGUCAAAUAAUUGUUUAUUCUUCCUGGAUCCCAACAUACACAUGACUCAUCCCUUGAAUAUUCUCAGUUACACCCAUUUGACUUUCGCCAUCUACUCAUCAACUCCAGGCCUUAUAUUUCAUAUGUAUAAAACAGAGUUUAUAAGCUCUUUUUAAAGAACAUUAUUGUAAGAAAUAAAAUUACCUGGAAAAUAAUAAAUGCUCUAAUAAAGAUAAAUAUGUGCUGGUUUACAGCAGUCUGAUUCCCUGAUACAUACUUUUUUAAAAUAAUAGACUCUCUUUUAGAGUGGUUUUAGGUUCAGAGCAAAAUUGAGCAGAAGGUAUAGAGAUUUCCCAUUUACUCCUUGCCUUCAAUGAUGCAUAACCUCUCCCAUUCUCAACAUCCCCCACCAGAGUGGUAUAUUUCACCUCGGAUGAGCAUAACUGAUAACAUCAUUAUCACAAAUGGACAACAUAGUAAGAGUAUUUUUAGUUUCAUAAGAAACUACCUGGGAGUUCCCGUCGUGGCACGGUGGUUAACGAAUCCGACUAGGAACCAUGAGGUUGCGGGUUCGGUCCCUGCCCUUGCUCAGUGGGUUAACGAUCCGGCGUUGCCGUGAGCUGUGGUGUAGGCUGCAGACGCGGCUCGGAUCCCGUGUUGCUGUGGCUCUGGCGUAGGCUGGUGGCUACAGCUCCGAUUCAACCCCUAGCCUGGGAACCUCCAUAUGCCACGGGAGCGGCCCAAGAAAUAGCAACAACAACAACAACAAAAAAAAGACAAAAAAAGAAACUACCAAACUGUCUAUUCCAUUUUUUAUUCUCACCAGCAAUGAAUGAGAGUUCCUGAUGUUUCACAUCCUUGCCAGCAUUGUGUAUUGUCAGUUUUGGCAUUUUUGCCCUUCUGGUAGGUGUGUAGUGUUAUCCCACUGUUAUUUUAAUUUCCAUUUCCCUGAUUGCAUGUGAUGUUAAACACCUUUUCAUGUGCUUGUUAUCUGUAUAUCUUUAAUGAGGUAUCUAUUAAGGUUUUCUGUCUAUUUUUUAAUCAGGUUGUUUAUUAUUGUUGAAUUUUAAGAGGUCUUUAUGUAUUUGAGAUAACAGUCCUUUAUUAGAUGUGUCUUUAGCAAAUAUUUUCUCCUAGUCUGUGGCUUUUCUUCUCAUUCUCCUCAUACCAUUUAGAGUGCAGAAGUUUUUAAAUUUAAUGAAGUCCAGGUUAUCAAUUAUUUUUUCAUGGAACAAGUCUUGCUGUUGUACUUAAAAUGUCACUGCUAUACACAAGGUUAUCUAGGUCUUCUCCUAUGUUAUCUUCCAUGAUUUAUAGUCCUGCAUUUUACAUUUAUGUCUGUGAUUCAUUUUGAGUGAAUUAUUGUGAAGGGUGUAGGUAUGUGAAAAUACUUAUUUUUUUUGCAUGUGAAUGCCCAAUUGUUCUUGCACCACUUGUUGUAAAGACUAUCUUUGCUUUGUUGCAUUGUCUUUGCUCCUUUUUCAACAAUCAAUUGAAAAUAUUUAUAUGAGCCUAUUUCUGUGCUCUCUAUUGUGUUACAUAGAUAUAUGUGUCUAUUAUUUUGUCAAUAUCACACAUUCUUGAGUAUUGUAGCUUUAUUGUAAGCUUAUGAUGUUGGUAGGGUCAGUCCUCCAGGAACAGUAUUUUAUAAAAGAGAAACUAGAUGGGUGCAUUUAAUAUUUAGAAUUCCAAUUUGAUGUGUGUAGAAAUGUAGUAUAAAUAAAGAAGUAGAAUACUCAAGAAAAAAUCUCACUUUAGGUGCACAUUCAAACUACCCUGAAAUAAGCAAAAACUGGGGUAUUUUAGAUAUAAGUAUCCAAUUUGACAUGAUGCUACUCUGAUACAUUAUCAGAAGGAACUACAAUGACUAGGGUUGUGUCCAUUUUCCCAUGCAAAACCAGAAAAAAUCCUUACCCUUACUUCUAUCACAAGAAUAUUAUGAUACAAAAAAAGAUAAAACAUGCUUGAAUAUACUUUGAGUACAUAUGUUUGUGUAUAUAAGCUCCUCUUCCUCCUGAGAGGCUAUGAUAUUAUUCUGAUUAUUUCUUCAAUUGCUGUUUCAGGACAGGCUCUCUCAGCCACUUCACUAUCACUCUAAUAAUACUGCUGCUGGAAACUACCCCUUAUGUCUGGUGCUCCAGCAGUAAUGAUUGAAUAGCUCACAUAAUUCAAAAUCAUGAAUUUCAAUAUUUUAUUUUGGACUCUUUCCAUGUUCAGAAACAAAUGAAUGGCACAAAAAAUAUCUAUUUAUAAUAAAUUGCCUUUACUCAGUAAGGUCAAAUUACUCUCCCUGUGGCAUUAUCUUGAAUAUACUUAAAGAAUCAAAUAUAUCUUCGAUGAUAUUUUCCCCCUCCCCACUCCUCUAUUUUUCAAUUAAGUUCAUGCCUCAUUUCUUAGCAUAUUUCAGAAGCUUCAUGAACACAUUUGACCAUGUCAAACUCAGAUUUUGCCAAAGCUGAACUAUACCUAAAACUUAAGCAUGGAAGCACAGAAUAGUAAUAAUUGCUUCAAUAGGUAAUAAUCAGACUCAGACUAGGCACAGAGUAAAAGCAAUCUGGCCUUCUUGAUGUUAAAAUCAGGACAGUCUCCUAAGACCAGAAACACUCCUUUUAAGACUAAGAAGCUCUUAAGUGCUUUGCAAUGGGGUAUAUAAAAAUAUCAAU